AAACUGGUAACCUAGAGGUAUGGGAGGGGGGGAGAUGGAAUUAGUGGUGUAGGGGGUAAAAUCCGUAGAUAUCACUAGGAAUACCGAAAGCGAAGGCGAUCUCCUGGAACAAUACUGACGCUAAGGCGUGAAAGCGUGGGGAGCAAACGGGAUUAGAUACCCCGGUAGUCCACGCCCUAAACGAUGUUCACUAGUCGUCGGAAUGCUAGUCAUUUCGGUGAUGCACUUAACAGAUUAAGUGAACCGCCUGGGGAGUACGGUCGCAAGAUUAAAACUCAAAGGAAUAGACGGGGACCCGCACAAGUGGUGGAGCAUGUGGUUUAAUUCGAAGAUACGCGAAGAACCUUACCUAGCCUUGACAUUGAUUGAACACUUUAGAGAUAGAGUGGUGCCCUUCGGGGAACAUGAAAACAGGUGCUGCACGGCUGUCGUCAGCUCGUGUCGUGAGAUGUUGGGUUAGGUCCCGCAACGAGCGCAACCCUCGUCCUUAGUUGCCAGCAGGUUAUGCUGGGCACUCUAAGGAGACUGCCUUCGCAAGGAGGAGGAAGGUGAGGACGACGUCAAGUCAUCAUGGCCCUUAUGGCUAGGGCUACACACGUGCUACAAUGGGGCGUACAGAGAGUUGCGAUACCGCGAGGUGGAGCCAAUCUCAUAAAGCGUCUCUCAGUUCGGAUUGAAGUCUGCAACUCGACUUCAUGAAGCUGGAAUCACUAGUAAUCGUAGAUCAGCAAUGCUACGGUGAAUACGUUCCCGGGUCUUGUACUCACCGCCCGUCACAC
RNAcentral lists this ribosomal RNA (779 nucleotides) under uncultured bacterium. Its description in RNAcentral is "bacterial SSU rRNA". It matches the Rfam family "Bacterial small subunit ribosomal RNA", at positions 630 to 1402 of the family's 1533-position model. The record is from RNAcentral.